AUCACCGAGGGCAUUAACCGGGAUCCAACGACGCCCUUGUCUGAGCUGUUUGUAUUUGGAUCUCCCCAUUGCUGGCCAAGUACAGUGCUAGCUGCUGGGAUCCCUGUAAGGACCACACGUUGCAUUUGACUGUCUGGCCCUUAGGUUUGCUGCAAUCUAGGCUUCCCAUCCUUCUUUUAAUUGACAUUUUGAAGAUCCCAUAUCUGAUGUCUUGUAAAAUGCCAGCGACCUGAAUGGGUCUGAUUGUUUCUUCCUGAUUCGGUUCAGUUCAAACGCUUUCGGCUGUGAAUACUAAAUAGGGGAUGUCAUGUCCUUAUUACAGCACUACCCAACGGGGCAUGUAAUGUCCCGUUUGUCUAUUUUUGGUGACCUACAUUGGAUUGGUGGUGAAGGUGAUGGAGGCCAGAUUGUUCCUUUGGGGAAGUCAUCACUUCCCAUUUGUAACGGACGUGUAAUCUUGAUGAUACGGAGAGGCCUGUGAAUGUUCUCCUGUACCCACUGGCUGUUCACCUGCUUGGGAGCUGGGAGACUCAUCUGUCUCUUAAAGGGCCAGCACUUCUGCUGGCAUAUGGCUUAUAUGUAAGGCCACACAGGAGUCCAGGGACUGGCGUCUCUUCCCACAGAGCUAUUUUUCCACCUGCAGCAGAAUCUUGGUCUCUGAGGACAGCGCAGUGUGAUGGCUUCUAGUCCUCUAGGUGGAGCUGAGGACGGUCACCAGCGGGAGUGGUGAGGCUGACUGCUUGUUUAUCCUCUGGAUUCCUGCUUGGAACAGUGUGAUCUCCUGGCUGGGCCAUCUAUCGCGGUGGAAACCUUUUCUGAGAUUUAUCGUCCUGUUCCCGCUGGCUUCGGACUGUGGGAAGGUAAAAAAUGUCCUUUUUGAGGCAAUAAAAUAUAAAA
Mesocricetus auratus (golden hamster) is the source of this 897-nucleotide long non-coding RNA. RefSeq lists it as uncharacterized. The transcript is spliced from 3 exons. The record is from RefSeq and is a predicted model, not a curated record. Lineage: Eukaryota; Metazoa; Chordata; Mammalia; Rodentia; Cricetidae.